Molecule: ribosomal RNA, 105 nt
Filed under: Erinaceus europaeus (western European hedgehog)
Lineage: Eukaryota; Metazoa; Chordata; Mammalia; Eulipotyphla; Erinaceidae
Source: RNAcentral
GCCUGUGGCCACACUUCCCUGAAUGUGCCCAGUCUCCUCUGAUCUUAAAAGAUAAGCAGGGCUGACCUCAUUAAUGUUUGGAUGGGGAGAAGGGAGCUACAAGUC